CCCAGAGCAGGCAGCCUAACACACAGAGGACGGGAUCUUUUGGACAGGCAUGUGGAGAAAGAGAAAAAUGACCUUGGAGGCACUGUAAGCCUUCAGCCAUUUAAAGGUCAAUCUGUUGAUGUAUCCCCAGCAUCAACAGAGCAACUAUGCAGCGCAGAAAAAGCAAACAAUAAAACAGUAAGAGAACAGGGUAGACUGAUCUCAUAUUCCAGUACUGCUGGUCUGAAUUUCCCUGAUGGGAGGUGGAGGAAGAACACCUGCUUGAGGCUUUGCACUCAGCUCCUGAACUCAAGCAGCAGGCUCCUACGGCAUACUGGAAGAAUUCACCACAGCGCUCCUGCUCAGACACUGUGCACACUGCUGUGCAAAGCCCCAGAGCAAACCUGGAUGAAAAUUUGGCUGGGAAUAACAAGAAACAGCAGGCUAAGACUCUAAAACAAUUGAGAGGGGAAAAAAAAAAGGCAUCAACACCAAAAAGAACCAAUCAGAAACAAUCAUUUUAAUCAGCUCCUGAGGCUACAGACAUUUUAAACCCAGGGACUUCUGUGGUUAGGCUAAAUCCUGCUUUGCAGUCUGUAGAGGAUGUGGUUUGAACUGUGGCAGCUUGAGGAAAAAUGUCAAAAAUAUAUGUAUAAUGGUUCCUAGGUAAUUUGCCAGCACUUACCAUAGCAACUAACCAUUUGUGGUGAUUUAACACAUGGA
This 702-nucleotide long non-coding RNA is filed under the name Gallus gallus (chicken). RNAcentral's name for it is "long non-coding RNA NONGGAT011830". The record is from RNAcentral. Lineage: Eukaryota; Metazoa; Chordata; Aves; Galliformes; Phasianidae.